This 2190-nucleotide ribosomal RNA is filed under the name Staphylococcus aureus. RNAcentral describes it as "partial 23S ribosomal RNA". It matches the Rfam family "Bacterial large subunit ribosomal RNA", at positions 732 to 2925 of the family's 2925-position model. Lineage: Bacteria; Bacillati; Bacillota; Bacilli; Caryophanales; Staphylococcaceae. The record is from RNAcentral.
ACCCUUGGUCAGGUUGAAGUUCAGGUAACACUGAAUGGAGGACCGAACCGACUUACGUUGAAAAGUGAGCGGAUGAACUGAGGGUAGCGGAGAAAUUCCAAUCGAACCUGGAGAUAGCUGGUUCUCUCCGAAAUAGCUUUAGGGCUAGCCUCAAGUGAUGAUUAUUGGAGGUAGAGCACUGUUUGGACGAGGGGCCCCUCUCGGGUUACCGAAUUCAGACAAACUCCGAAUGCCAAUUAAUUUAACUUGGGAGUCAGAACAUGGGUGAUAAGGUCCGUGUUCGAAAGGGAAACAGCCCAGACCACCAGCUAAGGUCCCAAAAUAUAUGUUAAGUGGAAAAGGAUGUGGCGUUGCCCAGACAACUAGGAUGUUGGCUUAGAAGCAGCCAUCAUUUAAAGAGUGCGUAAUAGCUCACUAGUCGAGUGACACUGCGCCGAAAAUGUACCGGGGCUAAACAUAUUACCGAAGCUGUGGAUUGUCCUUUGGACAAUGGUAGGAGAGCGUUCUAAGGGCGUUGAAGCAUGAUCGUAAGGACAUGUGGAGCGCUUAGAAGUGAGAAUGCCGGUGUGAGUAGCGAAAGACGGGUGAGAAUCCCGUCCACCGAUUGACUAAGGUUUCCAGAGGAAGGCUCGUCCGCUCUGGGUUAGUCGGGUCCUAAGCUGAGGCCGACAGGCGUAGGCGAUGGAUAACAGGUUGAUAUUCCUGUACCACCUAUAAUCGUUUUAAUCGAUGGGGGGACGCAGUAGGAUAGGCGAAGCGUGCGAUUGGAUUGCACGUCUAAGCAGUAAGGCUGAGUAUUAGGCAAAUCCGGUACUCGUUAAGGCUGAGCUGUGAUGGGGAGAAGACAUUGUGUCUUCGAGUCGUUGAUUUCACACUGCCGAGAAAAGCCUCUAGAUAGAAAAUAGGUGCCCGUACCGCAAACCGACACAGGUAGUCAAGAUGAGAAUUCUAAGGUGAGCGAGCGAACUCUCGUUAAGGAACUCGGCAAAAUGACCCCGUAACUUCGGGAGAAGGGGUGCUCUUUAGGGUUAACGCCCAGAAGAGCCGCAGUGAAUAGGCCCAAGCGACUGUUUAUCAAAAACACAGGUCUCUGCUAAACCGUAAGGUGAUGUAUAGGGGCUGACGCCUGCCCGGUGCUGGAAGGUUAAGAGGAGUGGUUAGCUUCUGCGAAGCUACGAAUCGAAGCCCCAGUAAACGGCGGCCGUAACUAUAACGGUCCUAAGGUAGCGAAAUUCCUUGUCGGGUAAGUUCCGACCCGCACGAAAGGCGUAACGAUUUGGGCACUGUCUCAACGAGAGACUCGGUGAAAUCAUAGUACCUGUGAAGAUGCAGGUUACCCGCGACAGGACGGAAAGACCCCGUGGAGCUUUACUGUAGCCUGAUAUUGAAAUUCGGCACAGCUUGUACAGGAUAGGUAGGAGCCUUUGAAACGUGAGCGCUAGCUUACGUGGAGGCGCUGGUGGGAUACUACCCUAGCUGUGUUGGCUUUCUAACCCGCACCACUUAUCGUGGUGGGAGACAGUGUCAGGCGGGCAGUUUGACUGGGGCGGUCGCCUCCUAAAAGGUAACGGAGGCGCUCAAAGGUUCCCUCAGAAUGGUUGGAAAUCAUUCAUAGAGUGUAAAGGCAUAAGGGAGCUUGACUGCGAGACCUACAAGUCGAGCAGGGUCGAAAGACGGACUUAGUGAUCCGGUGGUUCCGCAUGGAAGGGCCAUCGCUCAACGGAUAAAAGCUACCCCGGGGAUAACAGGCUUAUCUCCCCCAAGAGUUCACAUCGACGGGGAGGUUUGGCACCUCGAUGUCGGCUCAUCGCAUCCUGGGGCUGUAGUCGGUCCCAAGGGUUGGGCUGUUCGCCCAUUAAAGCGGUACGCGAGCUGGGUUCAGAACGUCGUGAGACAGUUCGGUCCCUAUCCGUCGUGGGCGUAGGAAAUUUGAGAGGAGCUGUCCUUAGUACGAGAGGACCGGGAUGGACAUACCUCUGGUGUACCAGUUGUCGUGCCAACGGCAUAGCUGGGUAGCUAUGUGUGGACGGGAUAAGUGCUGAAAGCAUCUAAGCAUGAAGCCCCCCUCAAGAUGAGAUUUCCCAACUUCGGUUAUAAGAUCCCUCAAAGAUGAUGAGGUUAAUAGGUUCGAGGUGGAAGCAUGGUGACAUGUGGAGCUGACGAAUACUAAUCGAUCGAAGACUUAAUCAA